Long non-coding RNA from Neofelis nebulosa (Clouded leopard), 589 nucleotides. RefSeq lists it as uncharacterized. The transcript is spliced from 2 exons. The record is from RefSeq and is a predicted model, not a curated record. Lineage: Eukaryota; Metazoa; Chordata; Mammalia; Carnivora; Felidae.
UCUUUUUCAUAACCUGUUACAGAUACAAUAUUCUCUCAAAUUCUUUUGAGGAUACUAAUUAGCCUUCUUUUUAAAGGCUCUCAUGUUCCCUGAAUUAUACCUAAAAUUUCUGGUAUCAGUUACUCUCUUUGUUCAUCUAAAUAUAGUUCUUCCUUAAAUAUCAAAUGAUCCUUGAUUGUCAGCUUAUUUUUCUAAAGGAAAAACGAUGUCAAUUAAUAUGGGUAGCUACACUGCUUCAGCUGCACUGUGAAACAACUUCUCCUGAAAGGUCUCUUCUCGGACUGCCAAGGAUGUCAACAGUCAGAACGUUCUGCAAAAUGGCAGCUGAACUCUACACCAGUGUGUACCAAAGUAGAAGCUGACUGAAAAGAUCAGCUGAUUCUCCAGCCCAGUUGGAAGCUGCCGCCUGGAAGCAAUGGUGAAGAGAUUUUCUCGGAUGCCGGGCCACCUGAGCUGUAACAGCUAUGGAGAAGCCACAAUGUUUUGGGAGCUGGUUUGAUAACGCUUCACGCAUGGCUAAAACCUCAGACAUAAUACUGGACCAUACCCACUAGCUGUCUGCAAAGAAUAUAAAUACCUCUGCGUGUGA